RNAcentral lists this unclassified non-coding RNA (432 nucleotides) under soil metagenome. Its description in RNAcentral is "partial contains 5.8S ribosomal RNA, internal transcribed spacer 2, and large subunit ribosomal RNA". The stretch from base 1 to 120 matches the Rfam family "5.8S ribosomal RNA", at positions 35 to 154 of the family's 154-position model. The record is from RNAcentral.
GAUGAAGAACGUAGCGAAAUGCGAUACGUAAUGUGAAUUGCAGAAUUCAGUGAAUCAUCGAAUCUUUGAACGCAUAUUGCGCUCUCUGGUAUUCCGGAGAGCAUGCUUGUUUGAGUAUCAGUAAACACCUCAACUUCCAUAUCUUUUUUGAAAUGGGAGUUGGACUUGAGUGAUCCCAACGCUUUUCCUCACCGAAAAGUGGCGGGUUACUUGAAAUGCAGGUGCAGCUGGACUUUUCUCUGAGCUAUAAGCAUAUCUAUUUAGUCUGCCUAAAAAACAGAUUAUUACCUUUGCUGCAGCUAACAUAAAGGAGAUUAGUUCUUGUGCUGACUGAUGCAGGAUUCACAAAGACGGCUUCGGCCGACUUUGUAAACUCGAUCUCAAAUCAAGUAAGACUACCCGCUGAACUUAAGCAUAUCAGUAAGCGGAGGA